This 254-nucleotide ribosomal RNA is filed under the name uncultured bacterium. Its description in RNAcentral is "partial 16S ribosomal RNA". It matches the Rfam family "Bacterial small subunit ribosomal RNA", at positions 524 to 775 of the family's 1533-position model. The record is from RNAcentral.
UACGUAGGGGGCUAGCGUUGUCCGGAAUCAUUGGGCGUAAAGAGCGCGUAGGCGGCCAGAUAAGUCCGGUGUGAAAGUCAGAGGCUCAACCUUUGAAUGCCGCUGGAAACUGUCUGGCUAGAGUCCGGAAGGGGCGAGUGGAAUUCCUGGUGUAGCGGUGAAAUGCGCAGAAUAUCAGGAGGAACACCAAUGGCGAAGGCAGCUCGCUGGAACGGUACUGACGCUGAGGCGCGAAAAGCGUGGGGAGCGAACGG